This is a non-coding RNA of Ciona intestinalis (vase tunicate), 1165 nucleotides long. Lineage: Eukaryota; Metazoa; Chordata; Ascidiacea; Phlebobranchia; Cionidae. The record is from RefSeq and is a predicted model, not a curated record.
UCUUCCCCCACCCUACUGUAUAUAGGUCUAACAGCAGCGAUUCUGAUGAGCCUUUAAAACGAACAGAAGAAUCCAGCAACUUAGUGACAAAUUUUGGGAGCGCUUAUAUUCGUUGGAAGGAGACUGACCAACAAAACUCAACAGACGAAAUGGAAACAGGUGUGUCAUCGUUUCAGAGAAUUAAUUAUUCCGACCUAUACGAGGCAGAAACGGCUGUGAAUAUCCUGAAAGCGAGCUUGCUUAGUGAGAACAUACAAGCAGCGGUACAGAGCAUUCGCGAAGAAUAAUAACAUACGCUCUUAUAGGAGAAGUCGACAACAGCGGGUACUGAUGUGCGAAACAAAGAGCAUACAGCGCUUGAGUGGGGUUAGAAAUGCAAAAUGGUGGUUUCUGAUUUUCAAACUCUUUACUUGCAAAUGGACUUGCGAAACAAAUAAGCUUGCACAUGGUCCAGACAUUACAUUAUAAUUGCUCUAAGCGUAUACCACUGUCGUAUAGUUGGUUAUUAAUAAUAUACACGGAGUUUAUGAACACCAAGGUUAUAGUAGUGUGGGGGGAAAUGGGACACUUUUUCGUUCCAUUUUCUCUUCUUAUUUUAUAGUAAACAAAGAACAUUCGAAAGUUAUUAAACCAUAUCCCCGCGCCACGACUUUCAUAGACUUGUAAAUUGUUAAAAACACCAUCCGGAUAUUUGGGUAUUGGUGCUAAAGAUGUGUCGUCUUCCCGACAGUAUAUUUAUUUAUUUUUAAAUAUAGUUUUAUAUAUAUUUUUUUUAAUUAUUACAUAUAGCGUUUAUCUCCUAGCUGAUUUUAAUUUUUUUUCUGAGAUUUGUUUUAAGGUUUUACUUGAAUGGUAAAUUCCCAGCCCCAGUUAUAUUGUAGUACUAAAAAUGUGUUUUAUAAGAAUUGAUUGCGACAGAAUGUGUGUCGUAUUCAAUUAAAUAAGGACAAUAUAGAUAAAGAUGCGACUUGUGGUAUUGUGGCAACACAACAAAACACAAGAGCAAAUUACACGUUUGUUGCUUCGUAACCAUCCUAUACACAAAACGCGUCGCCUAAAAUAAACGACUUUACCCGUUUACGUAAAACAUCACAGUAAGAACAUUAUUGGCGCAAUAGUUGCAUGUUUCCUUUUUUGAUACUAGAAUAAAACAGGCAGUGACGUG